This 440-nucleotide ribosomal RNA is filed under the name uncultured bacterium. RNAcentral describes it as "partial 16S ribosomal RNA". It matches the Rfam family "Bacterial small subunit ribosomal RNA", at positions 338 to 795 of the family's 1533-position model. The record is from RNAcentral.
CCUACGUGUGGCAGCAGUGGGGGAUAUUGCACAAUGGGGGAAACCCUGAUGCAGCGACGCCGCGUGAGUGAAGAAGUAUUUCGGUAUGUAAAGCUCUAUCAGCAGGGAAGAAAAGGACGGAAGCUGACAAAGAAGACCAGACGAAAGACGUGCCAGCAGCCGCGGGAAUACGUAGGGGGCAAGCGUGAACCGGAUUUACUGGGUGUAAAGGGAGCGUGGACGGCAGCGCAAGUCUGAAGUGAAAUCCCAGGGCUUAACCAUGGAACUGAUUUGGAAACUGUGCAUCUGGAGUGCAGGAGCGCUAAGCAGAAUUCCUGGUGUAGCGGUGAAAUGGGUAGAUAUUAGGAGGAACACCAGUGGCGACGGCGGCUUACUGGACUGUAACUGACGUUCAGGCUCGAAAGCGUGGGGAGCAAACAGGAUUAGAUACCCUUGUAGUC